GGAAUUUUAUUAAAGACACGGAGGCUCAUAUUAUGCAAGUUCAAAGCUGUGCCAUCACCUGAGAUGCGAUAUGUUCAAUAGGUCUGAAAUAGAAGUCGCGGAAGGUCGAUUCUCUAGACCAGUCCGCUGUACGCAUGAUGUCCUCCAGUCGACAGCCUGGGGUGGCGGAGGUCGUCAGGGUCAAACAGGGGGUUACCCUGAGGGUCAAACAAUACUUUACUAUCCCCAGUGGGGCUUAACACUUGACCCUUAUUAGUGGCAGCGGAUCCCGAGGGGGUCACACCCGUAGGGGGUAAGUCUCCGCCCGAAUCCCCCUCAUCAUAGGAAUCAUACUCCAUAUCGUCAGACUCAUUCUCCACACUCCGGUCGGUAUCCGACCCAUCAUCCAGGGCUCUAGCCCGUUUCCACAAUCUAGCCUUUUUAGCCCGGCCAGGGGCUCUCUUGCGCAUGGGAGGUGCGCCGUCUGUGACCGCGUCAAGCGAGUCCAUCAUGGCAGGCAUAACCUGCAUCGAGGAGUGGGAGCUGACGUGUUUCGCCUUAGCCCUAGCCUUACGGGCCUCAGGCAUGGCGGGGGCUGGCGGGGGGGUCCCAUCACCCAGGGGGGAGGGAGCCACCAAGGAGGGCAAAAGCAUAUUCUGCAGAGACUGGGAGAAUGAUGUGGACACCGCUCCCAUGGCAGAGGCAAAGGCCCUCUGCAAGGAUGAUGCCAUAGUGGCAUCCAAGAGGGCUUGGAAUUCUUGGGAAGCCACAUUGCCCUCAGGAACAUCGUGAUUAAAAGUGUCAGGGAGGCCCUCAUGCCCCUCAUCCCUGUCUCGCAUAAUGGCAGGGCAAAUACUCACAGAAUGUAGAGAGAAAAGGGGUUGAGUAACCCACAGGAGGGUUAAAAACAAGCGAAAUGUGCUGACAGGUGUGCCCAGGGGACCCAGGAGACUGCAGAGGCGGGCAGCAGGCUGGCCGCGAGCCGCAGGGAGUAUGAGGACCGGCCACGAGUAAGCUCCGCCUCCAAGAUGGCCGCCGCAUGUGGAGGCUGGCGGGUAUCACUCGCGACCAGGACACACUGGGGGGAAGGGGCGCGUGCACCUCACCCACGCGGCACGGAGGUCGCGAGAGCGAGGGACGUGUAGCCGCGCACCCAGAAGGGAAGCCAACCGCCGGGGAAAGUAAGGGAGGGAGACCCCUCCGCCGGGAUACAGAACUGGGGAAGGGAAACCCACUAGGCACACCACAGGGAUAAACAGAACCCAGCAAAUACAGCACAGUAAUAAAAUGUAAAACAGCAAUAAACAGCAACAAUCAGCAAUAAAUGAUGAAACAUGUAGAGAAAAACUGAGAUACUUAGCUGGUCU
Pelobates cultripes (western spadefoot toad) is the source of this 1346-nucleotide non-coding RNA. The record is from the annotation of a GenBank genome assembly. Lineage: Eukaryota; Metazoa; Chordata; Amphibia; Anura; Pelobatidae.